CAUCAUUGAGCUUUGAUUAUUAAAUCAUAAUUUGUUUAAUAGGACAACGCACAGGUGAUGACAUCAUUGAGCCUUGAUUAUUAAAUCAUUGAGCGUUGAUUAUUAAAUCAUUGAGCUUUGAUUAUUAAAUCAUUGAGCUUUGAUUAUUAAAUCAUUGAGCUUUGAUUAUUAAAACAUUGAGCUUUGAUUAUUAAAUCAUUGAGCGUUGAUUAUUAAAUCAUUGAGCUUUGAUUAUAAAAUCAUUGAGCUUUAGACCGAGUUUGGGAAACCCUGAAAUAGACUAGAUCAACGUAUCAAACUGCUGACACAAGACAAUACUUUUUUCUAAGUGUGGGCUGGAGGCUUAACUUGACUAAGGCUGUCAGGGUCUGGACAGACCAGAAUUAUUCUUUGUCAGAAUGUAAUGUGGCCACAGUGAACGAGGUACAUGUGUAGCGUCUCUCGGCUGGUAUUCUUUGUAAAAGUAAAUUGGUAUUUUACUUACAGGAGGAACACUUGUUUAAACAAUCUAAGGUGCUAAAAAUAACACAAUUAAACAGUGAUGUAUAGAUUAUAGUGAAACAUAUGUAGAAUUAUGGAUCAGCACAGCCAAGUCAAUGAGCAAAAGUGGGGGAUCUAUAAACCUGUAAAUGUUCCAAGAUGCACCAGAGGACCGUGUUUGAAAGAUUAUGAAAUGAAAUGUGAGUGGUGGGAACAGAAACAUUUAUACCAGUUGAUUUGAUCUGUGUCCAUGAUAUAUACUAUACAAUAGUCUGCUGGUCUCUGCACUUCUGCUGGAAUAUAUUAUAUUCAUAUCAAAACAACCAGGUGGCAUUCAAGUGUUGACGUUCAUUAUUCAAACAAGGUGCCAUUGGACAAUUAUGUUUUGUUGUUUAACUUGCUGAAUUUCGUCUCAGACCCUGUUAUCUGUUCUGUUUUUAAUUAUUAUAUACUGCUGGGUUUAUUUCUCUGUAUGGUUGUGUUUAUUUCACAGAGACUUGAUAUGUAAACCUAUUUUCAGAGUGUUUAUGUAGAAAGUGCCUAAUCAUAUCCCGAUUGAUCGCACAAAGCCAAUGUCAGGAAGCAUGCGAUGUACUGUACCUACGGAGAAAAACAUGGCUUUGGAGAGAAAAAGAUCACCUGAAUCCAUCAUUCUUUAGGACUACUGUAUAUUCAAGUAUCAUACCAUAUAUCAAUCCAAAAACCAUCACUAAAUUCAGUCCGGUGACAGUCUUCCCUUAACCAACUCAGUAUCCCCACGCAAUGCGUUCCAUCUUGUCAACAUUCUAAGCCUUUUCAUGUUCUAUUGGAACUGCCUGUUGAAACCAUGAGAAUUCCAUUCCAUAACUUUUGUGGUUUUAUUGCCUUGCAUUCAUCAUUCAGAUAGUGGUAAGAAUGCCAGCUAAUGCACUGCUGUGGCAAUACGGGAAGGUUUUAUUAUGCUUGCAUGGGUAAAAUAGUUAACUGGGUGACUGAACUGCACCCAAAGCAUGCUUAUUUUUCUAAAAUCGGUAGUCAGAUAGACUUGUAAAAGACUUACUGUUCUGUAAAGCGAAGAACGUUUGUAUGACGUGUCACAGAACUCUGAAAGAUGGAGGGCAGUUGAUUGGAAGGCAGAGAAGAAUCCUAAAAAUACAAACUAUGAUCAAUCUGCAGUAUUUACUGACCAUGUUUGUUGGGGUAGCAUGAGGGCAAGUUUUUCUAGAAGCAAGUUUUUUAAAAUUAAUUUAUUAAUUUUUAUUAAUUUGGAUCUAAAAAUAGUGUGCUCCCAAACCAACAGUAUACCGCAAGUAUUUUACGAGGCAACAACACACAGACACACACACACACACACACGCAGGCGACAGUACAUUGCACUGCACACAUCCAGAUAUGUCAGGGCAUAGUCAGUCUCACUUGUACACAGUUCAGCAGAGAGAGCUCAUCAUGUGUUAUUUUCCUAGCCUGCUCCUAGUCCUAGAGAACCGCUCACCUCCCUUCUGUAUUUUACUCAGGGUGCCAAAAUGGGGAGGAGGAAGUGGAGCAGGACGUUGAUGGUGAUUCAGUGUAGAGAGAGGACACACUAUUGAAAUAGGAUACAGAGCUUUCUGGAUAAAACAGGCAAAUUACUACUGAUCCUGGAUGCAUUAUUGGUAUCCAUUUCCUCUCAAGUAAGUAAGGUGAGCUGAGGAGAGACGUAAUGGCACGAUAACAGAACUAGGGGAUACAAGUCAUUCUAGUAUAGAUAAUUAUAAUUAGGACAAGCUCAUCACAAUUGACCGUAUGGUCAAUUGUUUCUGUCUUGGCUACAGCUCUGACAAAUUAAUUUGUAGGCAUUAUGGAACACUAGGGCUUAAAGUCUUACGUAAAUGCUUACCUUUCUUUUGUAGACUAUGCUUAUGAGUCUAGUAACACUUUAACCUUUGACCUCCUCUGGCUUGAUGGUUCUCAUUAAAACAAGGACUUGCUGUGUGUAUCUAUGGUUAUGUCAUAACAUCACACACAGCUUCAAAUAGUCUAUAAAGCUAUUCUCAGUUAUACAACAUUUAAUCUCAGUUAAGAUAUGGAUGAUGACAUGAUGUAACAUCUGAAUGAGGUCUUCCUGAGACGUACGUUGGGGUAGUUGAAGAUGAGGUCUUCCUGAGACAUACGUUGGGGUAGUUGAAGAUGAGGUCUUCCUGAGACAUACGUUGGGGUAGUUGAAGAUGAAGUCUUCCUGAGACGUACGUUGGGGUAGUUGAAGAUGAGGUCUUCCUGAGACAUACGUUGGGGUAGUUGAAGAUGAGGUCUUCCUGAGACGUACGUUGGGGUAGUUGAAGAUGAGGUCUUCCUGAGACGUACGUUGGGGUAGUUGAAGAUGACCAGAUCUUUUGGGACGGUUUUAAAAAAAGGCCUUCAGGUAUGGCCAUCUUCUGGAUGGUAUGACAGGUUAGCUAUAACAGGCACUUCAUAUGGAUUUUAUUACCUUCAUUACACUCUACUAAUUGACCUGAGGGACUGGACGGUAUCUCCUCCUCUUCCUUUGUCAAUGCACUCAAACUACUGAAAGGUAGGCACAUCAAGACAACAGAGCAGAAACCAUCUCACAACCUUUUCCACUUGUGGACACAGAGCAAUAAGCAUUCUUUUGUGGAGACCUAUAGACCUAGUGAAGAUAAAAAUGAUUGGACACAUGUAGUCGACGUACUCUUAUGCAAAUGCCAGUAUUGCAAGACAAGCAUUCAGUAGUUUAUGGACAGCAAUUGUAUGGCACCCUUUACCGAACUGCACGUUUUCAUCAAUUCCAAACCAAGAAGAAAAAAAUGGCCCUGCUUAAAUACAAAGUCGUGGGUCCUUGACACUUUGCAUGUGAACUAGUGUUAGAGCUAUUUUCCUCUCCUCUAUAACUGUCUUCCUCUCGGUCUUUCCCUGUUAUGUGACCCUCUCUUUCUUUCCUUCCCCUAUUAUUUCACCCACUCCUUAUUUUCGUUUCCCCUAUUGUGUUUUGCUUUCUCUCCUUUUUCUUCCCCCUCUUCCUUGUUUGUAAGUUUUAUUUUUGUAAUUGUGCAUGUACAAGCGUCACUGACUCGAUGGAUAUGUUUAAAAAAAAGCUGCUGAAGCCAUGCAAAACGUUUUGAAAUGCCCUUAAAAUAUGGAAGAUGUUUUCUGAAUGCUUUAUAUUCUUUCUGCUGUAAAAUAAUUAAAAAAAAUAAAAAAUGAAGAAA
Long non-coding RNA from Oncorhynchus tshawytscha (Chinook salmon), 3662 nucleotides. NCBI's taxonomy places the organism in Eukaryota, Metazoa, Chordata, Actinopteri, Salmoniformes, Salmonidae. The record is from Ensembl.